Molecule: ribosomal RNA, 440 nt
Filed under: uncultured bacterium
Lineage: Bacteria
Description: partial 16S ribosomal RNA
Rfam family: Bacterial small subunit ribosomal RNA
Source: RNAcentral
CCUACGGGAGGCUGCAGUGGGGAAUAUUGCACAAUGGGGGAAACCCUGAUGCAGCAACGCCGCGUGGGUGAAGAAGUAUCUCGGUACGUAAAGCUCUAUCAGCAGGGAAGAAAAUGACGGUACCUGACUAAGAAGCCCCGGCUAACUACGUGCCAGCAGCCGCGGUAAUACGUAGGGGGCAAGCGUUAUCCGGAUUUACUGGGUGUAAAGGGAGCGUAGGCGGCAGAACAAGUCUGAAGUGAAAUCCUGGGGCUUAACCCCGGAACUGCUUUGGAAACUGUUCGGCUGGAGUGCAGGAGGGGUAAGCGGAAUUCCUAGUGUAGCGGUGAAAUGCGUAGAGAUUAGGAGGAACACUGGUGGCGAAGGCGGCUUACUGGACUGUAACUGACGUUGAGGCUCGAAAGCGUGGGGAGCAAACAGGAUUAGAUACCCCUGUAGUC